RNAcentral lists this ribosomal RNA (446 nucleotides) under uncultured bacterium. RNAcentral describes it as "partial 16S ribosomal RNA". It matches the Rfam family "Bacterial small subunit ribosomal RNA", at positions 338 to 795 of the family's 1533-position model. The record is from RNAcentral.
CCUACGGGUGGCAGCAGUCGAGAAUCAUUCACAAUGGGGGAAACCCUGAUGGUGCGACGCCGCGUGGGGGAAUGAAGGUCUUCGGAUUGUAAACCCCUGUCAUGUGGGAGCAAAUUAAAAAGAUAGUACCCCAAGAGGAAGAGACGGCUAACUCUGUGCCAGCAGCCGCGGUAAUACAGAGGUCACAAGCGUUGUUCGGAAUCACUGGGCGUAAAGCGUGCGUAGGCUGUUUCGUAAGUCGUGUGUGAAAGGCGCGGGCUCAACCCGCGGACGGCACAUGAUACUGCGAGACUAGAGUAAUGGAGGGGGAACCGGAAUUCUCGGUGUAGCAGUGAAAUGCGUAGAUAUCGAGAGGAACACUCGUGGCGAAGGCGGGUUCCUGGACAUUAACUGACGCUGAGGCACGAAGGCCAGGGGAGCGAAAGGGAUUAGAUACCCCUGUAGUC